RNAcentral lists this ribosomal RNA (425 nucleotides) under uncultured bacterium. RNAcentral's name for it is "bacterial SSU rRNA". It matches the Rfam family "Bacterial small subunit ribosomal RNA", at positions 354 to 796 of the family's 1533-position model. The record is from RNAcentral.
GUGGGGAAUAUUGCACAAUGGGGGAAACCCUGAUGCAGCAACGCCGCGUGAGUGAUGACGGUCUUCGGAUUGUAAAGCUCUGUCUUCAGGGACGAUAAUGACGGUACCUGAGGAGGAAGCCACGGCUAACUACGUGCCAGCAGCCGCGGUAAUACGUAGGUGGCAAGCGUUGUCCGGAUUUACUGGGCGUAAAGGGAGCGUAGGUGGAUAUUUAAGUGGGAUGUGAAAUACUCGGGCUUAACCUGGGUGCUGCAUUCCAAACUGGAUAUCUAGAGUGCAGGAGAGGAAAGUAGAAUUCCUAGUGUAGCGGUGAAAUGCGUAGAGAUUAGGAAGAAUACCAGUGGCGAAGGCGACUUUCUGGACUGUAACUGACACUGAGGCUCGAAAGCGUGGGGAGCAAACAGGAUUAGAUACCCCAGUAGUCC